Molecule: ribosomal RNA, 448 nt
Filed under: uncultured bacterium
Lineage: Bacteria
Description: bacterial SSU rRNA
Rfam family: Bacterial small subunit ribosomal RNA
Source: RNAcentral
UACCAGACUCCUACGGGAGGCAGCAGUGGGGAAUAUUGCACAAUGGGGGAAACCCUGAUGCAGCAACGCCGCGUGAGUGAAGAAGUAUUUCGGUAUGUAAAGCUCUAUCAGCAGGGAAGAAAAUGACAGUACCUGACUAAGAAGCCCCGGCUAACUACGUGCCAGCAGCCGCGGUAAUACGUAGGGGGCGAGCGUUAUCCGGAUUCACUGGGUGUAAAGGGAGCGUAGACGGCGAUACAAGUCUGAAGUGAAAGCCCGGGGCUCAACCCCGGGACUGCUUUGGAAACUGUGUUGCUGGAGUGCUGGAGAGGCAAGCGGAAUUUCUAGUGUAGCGGUGAAAUGCGUAGAUAUUAGGAAGAACACCAGUGGCGAAGGCGGCUUGCUGGACAGUAACUGACGUUGAGGCUCGAAAGCGUGGGGAGCAAACAGGAUUAGAUACCCCCGUAUG